Long non-coding RNA from Helianthus annuus (common sunflower), 3000 nucleotides. RefSeq lists it as uncharacterized. The transcript is spliced from 2 exons. Lineage: Eukaryota; Viridiplantae; Streptophyta; Magnoliopsida; Asterales; Asteraceae. The record is from RefSeq and is a predicted model, not a curated record.
UAGUGCGCGUACGCUAUCUGAUCAUCUCUUUCAUAAGACCACCAUUGUCAUCUUCAACCUCUAGCUUCGCGAAAUCUGCACCAAAUCGAGUGGUUCCUGGGUGUAACUUGCUUAGUUUUUCAAGGAGAACAAAACCUCAGUGUUCGUUUCUUACGAUUCUCACUCGUUUGGGAGGAAUCAGAGAACAAAGUGACGAACCCUAAGUUUUAAAUUUGGGGGUUUUCGUUUUUGGGUUUCCAGAAGUUCAAUUUAGGUCCAAGCAAGUGUUUUAAGUAACAAAGGCUUUGUUGCUAGCAGGGUUGGAUCAGUUGGUGCAGCAGGCAAGACCUCCUGACUAUGGUGAAUGGCCUGCUUAUUAUCAGGCAAUCUUUGACCAGAAUACCUGAGGCUUUGCGCAAUUAAGAUGGGAUGCUCAACGAAAUUAUAGUAGGCAGGAGCUUUGGAACCGCAUUCAUGAAUAUACUCACCAAAGGGAGAUCAAUCACAGGGCUGAGGAUAAUCGACAGAGGCGGUUGCACACAGCAUGGCGUACAGGUCAGCCGGUGGUGGAAAACCCACCACACAUUGAUUACACUUCCCUUCCGCCUUAUGAUGGUUCAGUUGACUACCCAGUGCCUCCGGUUCACCAUUCAGAGUGGGUGGACCCACACUAAGAGCGCGCUCAAAAUCAGGAGGAAGGUCGAGUAGUAGGAGCAUUUGGAUUCGGGGAAUUUGGGGACACGUUGACGUCCAUCUUUGGACCUCCUCAACAUCGUUAUCACUGAGCACUCGCUGAUCGGUGUCGAUCAGGUCCAUGUGUUCUUCCUAUCUCUUGUGUUUUGUAUUUUUCUUAUAUUGUGUGUUGGGUGGUGGUUUAGACCAUAGGCGGUUUGGCGGUGUUUUGUUUUGUUUGUUUUAUUUGUGUAGGAUUUAUGUGGUUGUCUCUUUGGUGGUGUAAAACAUUAUACUAUGUGUUGGGUAUGGUAUUAGUGGGUUUUCGUCUUGUGUAGAUGGAUGGGUGGUUGGAAUGAGUCGCUUGAAUGGGAUAAAUUGCAUGUUGGUAAAUCACACAUUUUGACCAUAAAACCUAUACAUUGGGGACAAUGUAUCCCAAGUGUGGGGAUGAGGGAAGUUAUUGAAAAAUUGAAAAUUUUUAAAAUUUUGUCUUAAAAGCGGUCUAAUCGGGCGUGAAAGCGUCUUUUUCAGUACAUCUAAUCGUCUCUGCUUGUGGUGCGCGGGUCCUUAGUCAUGGUCUAAUCUUACAGAAUAGUAAUAUGAGCCGUUUUCAGCAGGUGUUUUUAGAAAAAAAAAUGUUUAGAACUUGCCUAACUAGGGCUGACAAGUUGUUGGUAAUAAAUGCAUGCACACAUCGGUAGCCUUAUUCCCCACGUUAGUGAGAUUUUGAGCCUACUAGAAUGUUAGUUGAAUUGAGAUUUAUAUAUUCAUUUGUUGAGAGUAGGCCGUAUGUUUCUCUGUUUUAGAACUUGUGUGAUUCGAUACAUGCUGAGACUCUGGAUUUGAUAUAUGCACAUAAAUGAUAAAGGCACAUUAGGAUCCCCUUUUUUCUUUUACACCUUUGAUAACCGAUGACCCAAAAAUUAACCAUAGUAGCCAACUUUGAGCCUUAUACCUGUUCGUUUGUCAAACCCAAAUCAUUAUCCAAACCGACCCAUUACAUUACCAACUGUAAAUGACAAUCUAUGUGUUCAGUUGUUUAUGUUGUGAAAAAAAAAAGAAAAAAGAGAAAAUUCAGCCAAGUAAAUAGGCCAAAUGGUCGAAAUAGGAGGCUGAAGAAAAAUAUAUAUUUGUUAUUUAUUAAGUUUAGUGUGAAUAAAGAUUGUCACUUGUUGGUAUCUCCCUUUUCUUUUAGCCACUUAAAAUGGCCAAAAAUUCACCACCUUUACCCUAAGCCCAAAACCCGUAAGUCCUUUAGAUAUGUGCGUUGUCUAUGUGAUAGAGUGGAGGUGUGAUUGUCAUACAAGCAUAUGAAUACAGAGUUUCAUAUUCGGUUAAUGAGUGUUUCAUACUAGCGCAUUACAUGCUAGUUCAGAUACUAAACCGAGGGGAGCGACAAAUUGUGAGGGGUGUGUUGUAUGAAAAUAAAAACCGGGAGCAUGUUAGGCUUAGUUGGUCGAGUUCUGUUUCAAAAAUGUGUACUGUGUUUGCUUGCUGAAUUAACACAUCUAAUGCUAAUCAAGGAAUGGGGUAUGACUUUGGACCCUAGCUAAUGCAUAGUGGGGGCGUUUGGGGUAUUCGUUAUUUGUUCGUGAUAACGUUUCGAAUGGAUUUGCUUGAGGGCAAGCAAAGGUAAAGUGUGGGGAUGUGAUGGAUGGUAUUUGGAUUGUGAUUUAUAUGUGUUUAAUGUCCAAUCUUAUGCAUAUUUGAGUGUUUAUAUGUGUGGAAUUGGAUAACUAUGAGAAAAUGAUGCUUUGCAGGUUAAAUAUGAAGAUUAGAGGUGUUUUGGAGAAUGCAAAUGGAGAGAAAAUAAAGAUAUCAAAGCAUGAUAUGAUAGAGAAUUGGAUUACAAAGACGUGGGCGCAAACGGGGAAGAAAACAGAGUUAAAACGAAGAAGUUAUGAAGAAAACAGUUUUGUGAAUAAGCUGCCGACAGAAGCCUACGGUUUUGACAGUAGCCUACGGUUCAGGGGUUACGGAAAUCAGGUUUAAUGUGCGAAAAUUAGGUUUUUAUGGGGAUCUUUUAUUCCAUUCGACCUGUGACGAUUUUGGGGAGACCAUUAGGGGAUUUUUGGGCAUUCUUCCACCAUUCCACACCUUCCAAUCAUCUUCUAAUCAUCAAUCAUGCAAUUUCUCAUCAAGAUUGAAGAUCAAAUCAAGAGCAUGAGCGGCUAAACCACCCAUGAUCAUCUUCGGGACUAGGGUUUGUGUUAGGAACCGAGUUGACCUAGUUUUACAAACUUUUGGAUUGAGAUUUGACUAAUCAUUCGGUUAGUUUAUCUUUAUUGUUUAUUUGUUUUUGAUUAAACAUUGUUGGAUUAUCAUUGCAUACUCGUUCAUCAGUUA